This 366-nucleotide unclassified non-coding RNA is filed under the name uncultured Sordariomycetes. Its description in RNAcentral is "sequence contains ITS1". The stretch from base 1 to 105 matches the Rfam family "5.8S ribosomal RNA", at positions 50 to 154 of the family's 154-position model. Lineage: Eukaryota; Fungi; Ascomycota; Sordariomycetes. The record is from RNAcentral.
GAAAUCCGAUAAGUAAUGCGAAUUGCAGAUUUCAGCGAGUCAUCGAAUCUUUGAACGCACAUUGCACCCGGUGGUAUUCCGCCGGGUAUGCCUGUUCGAGCGUCAUUUCUACCCUCGAGCCCCCGUGGGGGCUCGGUGUUGGGGUCCUGCGGGCGGCCCGCCCAGCGCGUGGCGGUCCCGCAGCCCUUAAAUUCAGUGGCGUGCCUGCCGCGGCACACCCCCUGCGUAGUACGAUCUAAACAAUCCCUCGCAUCGGGUCCCGGCCGGGCGCUGCCUCCCUCGCUCCAGGGACCUCACGGGUCCCGACGGCGAACCCCCCACAGUUAAGUUGACCUCGAAUCAGGUAGGGUUACCCGCUGAACUUAA